This 206-nucleotide ribosomal RNA is filed under the name Phyllosticta ampelicida. RNAcentral describes it as "5.8S ribosomal RNA". The stretch from base 51 to 204 matches the Rfam family "5.8S ribosomal RNA". Rfam says of the family: 5.8S ribosomal RNA (5.8S rRNA) is a component of the large subunit of the eukaryotic ribosome. It is transcribed by RNA polymerase I as part of the 45S precursor that also contains 18S and 28S rRNA. Functionally, it is thought that 5.8S rRNA may be involved in ribosome translocation. Lineage: Eukaryota; Fungi; Ascomycota; Dothideomycetes; Botryosphaeriales; Phyllostictaceae. The record is from RNAcentral.
AACUCAAGCGAUUAUUUUGUGAAGUCCUGAUAUAUCAUUCAAUUGAUUAAAACUUUCAACAACGGAUCUCUUGGUUCUGGCAUCGAUGAAGAACGCAGCGAAAUGCGAUAAGUAAUGUGAAUUGCAGAAUUCAGUGAAUCAUCGAAUCUUUGAACGCACAUUGCGCCCUCUGGUAUUCCGGAGGGCAUGCCUGUUCGAGCGUCAUU